Molecule: long non-coding RNA, 450 nt
Organism: Schistocerca serialis cubense
Lineage: Eukaryota; Metazoa; Arthropoda; Insecta; Orthoptera; Acrididae
Exons: 3
Source: RefSeq, a predicted model, not a curated record
GCAGUUGGUGGAAGUAACGGACGUCAUCAUUGUGUGUAUUUUAUCUCAGUAACUUGCAAGAUGCUAACGGAGAGAGAACUUACAGCCCAAAAAUUUGAUACGUAAAUACAUUUUUUCCUAAAAAACGUUUGCGGAUGCCAGACAUGACAAUUUAUUGGCAGGAGACUGUUUAAACACUUUCACAAGUACCAUCAGAUCAUGAAGUGUUGAAGUAACUGUGCACUAUCACAGUAAAAUGCUUGCUCAAAUGCCUGAUUUGAUGUGUCGGUGCAAACUCCACCAGGAAGUCAUACUGGAUUGUGGUUGAUCACACAUGGAACUCGAUGUAAUGGGAGCUUACGUGACACUGAAGCUGAGGACCGUGAUGUUGAAACUUCAUGAUGCAUAUGAAACUCAAAAGUCACCGGGAUGUUCCUGUUGACUUCGUGACAGCCUGACGUAUCUGCUGGG